Molecule: long non-coding RNA, 5067 nt
Filed under: Homo sapiens (human)
Lineage: Eukaryota; Metazoa; Chordata; Mammalia; Primates; Hominidae
Description: HSALNT0174365
Source: RNAcentral
UACAAGCAUGAGCCACUGCACCUGGCCAGAUAUUCCAUUAUUAUCAUAACUUGAAAUUUCUUUAUUACCCUAUUUUUCUAUGGCAAGCCUAUUUAAUUUUUACUUCAUUUUUUCCACUUGAGAAUUCACUCUGCACUUCAACUAAUUUCUUGUCAAUAUCUUUACUUUCUUUUAUUGUUUUCUGACACAACCAGCUCACAAAAUUUCAAUCCAUUAUCUACUCUCACUUUCAUCUUUUCUAGAUCCAAUUAUUCUCCAAAACUAUCAGAUUUAAGCAUACUCAGAUUCUUACAUCUUUAAAAGAAAAAGUCUUAUGUUCAGAACCUCCUCAUAUAUCUAGUGACUGCAUUAACUUUCUUCCUUCCUUUAAUAGCCACACUUUCUAUCUCUACAUGUUUAUUAGGUAUAAUACACAUUGCAAAACAUAGAAGAUAGAUAAUAGAUAUCUAUACACUUGUGUCUAUAUAUGUUUGUGUGUGUAUAUGUGUAUAUAUUUAUAUGUGUGUGUGUGUGUGUGUGUCUAUGUAUGCUUGAAGACAUUUUAUAAUUAGCUAUUUAUUCUUCCAAGGCAACAACUAGGACUUAUUUAGAUUUGCUUCUUCAACAUCUAAAAUAAUGCUUGAAACAUAGAAAGUACCUAAUAAACAUUGUUGCAUGAGUUAAUACUUGAUUUAAUAAAUAUGUGUUGAGGCAAUCCAAUCAGCUUGUGGCUAUAGUUUUUCAUCAUUUUAUAUGUAGAAUUAUAUUUUUAAUAUUUUUUUCUGUCUAUUAUUACUUAUCUUUCUUUGAGCUUAAUCUUGAAGUACUCUGAGAUAAGUAAAAUAUCUCUUAAGGACUUUAUUAAUUUGACAUAGUUUGGGUGAUCGUCUGUUGUUCUCUUUUUUUCUUAAUGGACUCUAGAGACUUGACAAAUCCAUCUUGUUCAAGUGUAAUUGUGGUAUCACUGGCUUUACUUUCUCACUCAGCACUAUAACAGAACUAUGAAAAGCAUAAGAAAAGUCCAAUUAGGGUUCACAUAUCCUAGAGGGAAACCAAGUCUUUUUAAUUCCAAAUGUUCUGCUUCUAGGACUAAAAAGUAGAAACCAGUUAUUAUUUUCAACAGUUACUAGUAUUAAUCAUUUUCCCUUAAAAUUAUUCCCCUUUACCUACACAUAAAGCCAAAAUACGAUUAUAAUGUUCAUAGAAUUUCAAUGGUCCACCCUCUCCUCUAUUUCUAUGGCCCUAUGUGAGAAAUACCCCUGUGAAUAGAAUAACAUAUAUCCUUCAGGAUCUCACAGAUUCAUGAAGACUCAAAAAUAAAAUGGUAAUUCACUAAUGCACUUUCAGCCAAGCCAAACUGCUCUGAGCAACCUGUGCUCUUUCACACCUAGUUAUGUUUACACUUGCUAUUGUUCCUCCUUGAAAUAUUACCACGGAGUUCCCCUGCACUUACUCAGUUACUUCCACCUGUCCUUCGAAGUUCAACUGAGAUAUUAGCUCUUCAGAGCAACUUUUACUGCUACUUCGCCUAACAGAUUUUAGUUUUUUUCCUCUGAACUUAAUUGACAUUUUGUUCCACAUUUACAAUAUCAUCGUGGUAUAAGUAUUAGUAAAUUAGUGUUUUAUUUUUGAGUCAUCAUGAAUCUUUGAGAUCCUGAAGGAUAUAUGUUAUUCUAUUCACAGUUGUAUUUCUUGCAUAGGGCCACACAAAUAGGAACCAUACUGGGAAAUGAAACCAUUAGUCUAUACUCAGCCUGGACACCAAUAAUUAAAACGUUACUGCCUAAAUCAACCUGACUUUGCUAUUACACUGUCAUUAUUAACAUGACUUUAUUUUCCUGAAAGCCUCGUGCCCAGGCAAAUGGCUUGAUUCUUCAUUAUAGGAACAUGCUGAAAACUGUAUAAAUUCUUCAAUAGAAAACAUUAACAGUUUGUGCCCUAAAAUUGUUUUUGAGGCAAAAAUCUUCUGCCUUGAAAUCUUGCUCUUGUUUCCACCAAGGGAAGCUAUUAUGGUCCUUUCCAAUCCCAAUCAAGUGUUUAUAUUGAAAGACUUGCCUUAAACCAAACUUCCAAUUCUCAAUAAAUUUCUACCUUUCCAUCCAACCUUGAGGAAAUUGUCAAAGUUAUGCAGAGGUGAUGAUCUCUUUCUCUAGUGAUAAAAGACUCAGAUUUGUCUUAUCAACAGAUUAAUUAGUUGAAUUAGAGUAAACUGAAUAUCACAUUUGUUGCUUAAAAAUGUGGGUUAAGUAAAACUCCAGAUUCUUUAUAAUAUAGUGUAUUAAAAUUUAGGUAGAUAAAAUUUUAUGAUGUUUCAGGCCCAUAGAUUUAGAUCAUUUGUAAACAAAAUCUAGUCAAUGACAUUUUAUACAUAACUAUUAUUAGUUGGCAGAAGCUCAGAUAUAGCCACAAAGUAAUAGUAGGAAAACAUUUAUUAGAUACCAACUCAGUGUCAGUUGGCCUGUGCUUUCUACAAGCUAUCUCCUUUUGCUUAGAUUUUAAAGAUUUCAGUUUAUUUAAAUCAAACUUGUAAAUCAUUUUAGACUCUUUAUAGUAUUUCCAAUUUGCGCUAAAUGGUUAACAUGCAUUUAAAAUGUAAUCAGGCCCAACACUGAUUCAUUAUCUGGCUCAAUGGUUCAUUGGUUCACUCACUCACCAUACAGCCAAAAGCAUUAUCACAGACCAGCCUGCAUUUGUCAUCAGGAGCAAACUACCAUACAAAGGUAAUGCCCACAUCAGACUUAUAUCUUUAAGCCAGGAUGAUUCAUCCACUUAUCAAGCACCUGAUAUUAGAAAUGAGCCAUCAAAACACACCAUUAUUUGUCCUAUGAACACUCUGACACACCCUCUUUUUAUCUCUAUUUGUCCAAGUCUGCAUGUAUCUUUCACUUAUGAUCAGCAAACAAGAUAAAAAAGGAUUAUGUAAAAAGCAGUUUCUCCUGAAAGAGCUAUUGCAGAAAAUUCAUGGAAGAGGUGGAGUUUGAACUGACCCAUGAAUAUGAAAUUCUCUAAUUUCUACCUUUAUGUACCUUUGGUUGUAUCUUGUCUCUCCACUUCUGGCUUUGUACGUAUCAGUUCAAGCUUGAAUUUGACCUGUCAGCUUCCUCUAUACAGAAUGUUAGCCACUUUGACCUAAACCUGCUGAUUUAAUUCUUAGCUCUUGCCUACCUGCACAUGUUGGAUUAUCUUUUAGUUAGAAAAAGAAACAGGAAAUCACAUACUCAUGUAAACUAUGUAAUUGAGCACAUGCAAUGCUAUAGAGUGAGGAGAGGGAGGACAGUGGCUUUUUCUCCUCAUUUUCUGUUCCUAGACCCCACAACAGAUGAUCUCAUCAUACAGGUCUUCUACUCCUUAAGAUAGACAAGAUUGAUGAAAGACUGGAAAUGACUUUGCCUGGACCAUGAUUCAGCGACACUGUCCCUGUGGCAAGACUAUUGGCCAGGCUCAAACGCAGUGGCUGAUCCUCACUGACUCCUCUUCCUAAGGUUGUUGUACUAGGAGCAUCUCCUAACACUACACGGACACAAUUCAAUGACAAAAAUCAGAGAAGGAAAACAAAACAAAACUUCUGGAAUGCCUCUUCAUCUGUACUGUAUCCUUGACAGAAUUCCUAUUGAGUGGUUUUCAUAUUUAACAACAGAUCCAAUUUUGUCAAAUAAAUUCUUACAUGGAACUCCAAUCCGUUGAAUUAGAAGAAAAGUUAGUAUAAGUUAUUUCAAGUUUAAUAGUUUUAGUUGUUAAUUUAUUUCUUAAUUUUGUCUUUCAGGGCACAGUGUUGAGAAAUCAUUUACACAGACAAAAAAUUGCAACUGAUUUUUAACUAUUUCUGCGUGCUAUCUUCCUACAUUUUCCAAUUAAAUUCUGAUAGUUCGACAAGAACUGAUUUCUAUUUUUCAAAAUUAUAUCACUAACUUACCAAUAUUCAACUAGUGCUUGCUUUCAAUGAUUGGUUAAUAUUGGCUCUGAAAACGUUCCUUUGCCAACAUAAAUGUUCAUUAAGAAUUUUUCAAAAAUGUCAAAAAAAUACCACCUCAGUUUCAACUAUGAAGUAACAAUUUAAUAUUUCAAAACAGUCAUAUUUAUUUUUCCUUGCUGUUAAAAUCAAACUUUAGCUUCAAUUUUAAGGCGGGCAUUCUAUAUACAUUUAAAAGUAGGUAAUUUUGUGAGUGUGAAUUGGACUUACUUAGAUUACUAAAAUUAGCAGCAAAAUAUAUAACCUGUUUCCACAACAUCUGGAGUUUAAGUAUUAACACUGUAAAAUAUUAUCUGAAUUUCUCAUAUUUUAAACUAUCAUAUGGACAAUAGAACAGAUUCCACUAUAAAAAUAAUUUUUAAAUCACUUCAAGUAGGAUUACAUGUAACUCUGAAUGAAAUGCAGUUAAAACAUAAAACAUAAUAAAAAUAUAACUAGUGUAGUGUUUGCUGACAGUAUUUGCCUAGCAAAUUUCCUUAAUCAGGGAUCUUUUUAAUGAAACACAAUGAUGGUUCAUACAUAAUAAAAGUCUCAUACGUGCUUUUUUGCUUAGAUAGUUUUCAAAUUUUUAAUACAGCUUUCAUUACACUUUUGAUACCUUACUUGAUAAAAUAUUUUUAAACGCAAAUGCUUAAACACUGUAAAUAUUUUUUCUUAAUUUUUAUGAUUACCUGGAAAAUAAUGAGAACAGUAACAUCUGAAGCCUCUUCCACCUGAAUGAUGAAGAUGUCAAAUAUUCUCAGCCUCAAAUUAAUGUGUCAAGUACAUUGGAUUUGUAUCUUUGUGUUCUUUCCUAUCUUCUUAAAAAAUUGUGCUAAUUACAUUUUCAAAAAUUGUUGUUUUUCUAACAUAUUGGUUACAAUAUCAAUAUAUGUGGCUUAAUAAAAUAGUCUCUGAGAACAUGUGCUUUUCUGAAUGUGUCAGGUGGCAGCUUGCUUUUAACAAUAUUGUAAGUUUUUAUAAUCAGAUUUAAAUUGUGUUUAUCUAAAAUAUUUAUGAACAUUGAAUUUAUGGUGAACAAAGCAGAGUCUUCUUUCAAAUCGCAUGUAGUUAUGUUUCAAAUAUGUGAAAUUUUUGAAUACUUCAUUAAAAUUUUAUUUUAAUAGAACACAUUAAAU